This 549-nucleotide ribosomal RNA is filed under the name uncultured delta proteobacterium. RNAcentral describes it as "bacterial SSU rRNA". It matches the Rfam family "Bacterial small subunit ribosomal RNA", at positions 97 to 636 of the family's 1533-position model. Lineage: Bacteria; Deltaproteobacteria. The record is from RNAcentral.
GGCGCACGGGUGAGUAACACGUAGGUCAUCUACCCUCGAGUGGGGGACAACCCUCCGAAAGGAGGGCUAAUACCGCAUAAGACCACUUUAGUGGCCAAAGCGGGCCUCUCCAUGGAAGCUCGCGCUUGAGGAUGAGCCUGCGGCCCAUCAGCUUGUUGGUAGGGUAACGGCCUACCAAGGCGGAGACGGGUAGCUGGUCUGAGAGGAUGAGCAGCCACACUGGAACUGAGACACGGUCCAGACUCCUACGGGAGGCAGCAGUGGGGAAUCUUGCGCAAUGGGCGAAAGCCUGACGCAGCGACGCCGCGUGAGCGAUGAAGGCCUUCGGGUUGUAAAGCUCUGUGGGGAGGGAAGAAUAAGGGCAGGCCAAUACCCUGUCUGAUGACGGUACCUCCUUAGCAAGCACCGGCUAACUCUGUGCCAGCAGCCGCGGUAAGACAGAGGGUGCAAACGUUGUUCGGAAUUACUGGGCGUAAAGCGCGUGUAGGCUGCUCUGCAAGUCGGAUGUGAAAGCCCUCGGCUCAACCGAGGAAGAGCACCCGAAACUGC